Molecule: long non-coding RNA, 1314 nt
Organism: Malania oleifera
Lineage: Eukaryota; Viridiplantae; Streptophyta; Magnoliopsida; Santalales; Ximeniaceae
Exons: 2
Source: RefSeq, a predicted model, not a curated record
CCAUUGAAUUUAGACACCCCGUAGGAGUAAUUUUUAUCAAUUUAGAAAACUUAUAUUUUAAGGCAGCCUGCUUUUCCACAUCAGGGAGUUUGCAAUUGCUCGUCCAUAUCCUUUUUGCCUCUUUUUUCUUUCUUGUUUUAAUUUUCUUCGAGUAGAAUCACGCUCACAAUAGGCUAUUUAUUGCUUCAAUUUUUGCUAACUUCAAAGAUUUGAAAUCCUGAGAUCUUUCUCUUAAUGGCAGCCCAGCCCACAAGAAAUUGAAAAUUGGUGCCCAGAAAAACAAGAGCCGCGCCGGAGGGAAGGGUUGCCGAAGCUGUGAGCCAUGCGUGGGCGAGAGAAAGGGAGAGAGGGGCUGCCUAGCUCUUGGCUGUGCGUGGGCGAGAGAGAGGGAAGGGAACAGAGAAGAAAAUAAGGUUUCGAAAAAAUUAAAGUGACUUUUGUGGUAUGGCAAUGAAUCCUUGCGUGAGCCAGAACCCGCUCUUGCAUAUUUUGAUCCUCAAGUCAUCGAAGGAAACAGUCUUAAUCGACCCCGCUGAAGAAAUCUUAAAGGAUCUGACAAAUGGAAUGGUUCUGUCAAUUGGCAUGUUCCUGGGUCCCUUGGUUUCUGUGACAAAUGGGUCGAUCUUGACCCAUAGCAAGGAGAAAAUGGAGGCCAAAAGCACAGACCAUAUAACAACAACGGUAGGUGUUCGAUUUUGCCGCGCCAUGAGACCUUUAAGGAAUGGAUAGAGAUGGACAAUCACCCAAGAGGCAAAGAAGAGCUUCCCAAACAGAGUUCCCCACGCUUCAUAGCCACUGCUUAUGGCAACAGAGAGCCCGCCAACAACUCCAACAAGGUUUAUAAUUAAGAGAGUGGUUGGAGGGAUAAGGAGAGUGGUCCAUUUGAAGGCAUAUAGUUCCCCGAACUCCUCAUCUUCUGAUACUUUGGAUAUGAUGGGGGUUUUGGUGUCGGUUCCUGCCAAAAUAUUGAGAAGACCUUGUACAAUGGCAAGGAGGUGUGCAGAUACCCCACCAAUCACCCAGAACUGCUCAUUUCUCCACCAUUCCUGGAUGCUCACUCCACUCCACCUCUGCUCAAGUAUGCCCGUUGUGAAGAUUGAGAUAAGCAAAGCAAUGAAGAAGAGACUUGCAAGUGUGCUUAUCUGGAUCACAAAAGAAUCUGGAAUUAGCUUACUCAGUAAAGAGGACAUUCAAAAAUGUGAUGAUUCUUUUUUGUUAUACACAGCAUUGGAAAGAUGAGUUUAUUUGUUUAUAUUUGCAGCAUUUGUUAAUGUGCAUACUUCAUUGCAUUUAUAUGAUCAAAAAUUAAUGUUA